CAUGGGAAGAUGUGCCUACUUCCCCUUUGCCUUCCACCGUGACUGUACAUUUCCUGAGGACUCCCUAGCCAUGCUUUCUGUACAGCCUGCUGAACCAGACACACCUGGGUUCCUGGUGAGCUUCACUGCUUCCUGGUCUCUGAUAUCAGCUCUGCCCAAAUUUCAGCUGUCACAGAAUGAGUGAUCCUCAUAGUAUAAUGGAAAUGCAUCAUCUCAGUUUCCCCAUGGCCUGAAUGUCCAUACAAAAUGAGAGCCAGUAGAGAAAAACAGAGGACGUGAGGAGUUUUUAAAAAUUGAGGAAAAGUGGAAGGAAAAGUAAGGAUGAAGGUGAAGAUGAAGGAAUAUGUCAGAGAUGCUAGCACUGGCAUCCCCCACCACACAGUACCAUGUACUGCUAAAGAACUCUAGAACAUACAGGGUGUAGACGGCAGUCUUCUUGGGGAAAAAGAGGCUUCAGGAUUGCAAGAUUUCAGCUACUGUCUCUCCUCGGAGCAGGAUUCCAUCUUUUCCAUGGCUGGGGCCCUUGACACAUGUCACUGUGCACUGCUCUUCUCGCUGGGAAAAGGAAACUGAGGCCCAGAGAGGGCAAGUGAAUUUCCCAAGAGUGUCCAGAUGAUACGGAGCUGAGCUGGAAAGUGAGCCUGGAUCUCUCUGGUUCUGAAAGCUUUGCUCGAAAGCACAGGAUGACACCUCCAUUCAAUCAAUAAGCACUGAGACCCUUCCAUGGACUCAGCAGGUCCUGCUGUCCCUGAAGGUUGACACUCUCAUUUCAAACCACAGCGAGAACCCCAAAAGGAAACAGUGCAAGGAAAAUAAUGUGAUAUUUGAGAGGCAGCAUGGAUUAUUGGGGACAGGGUUCAUGUCCCUUCUCUCCCACACACGUGGCAUGAUGUUAAGCGGGUCACCUCACCUCUCCAGGGUUGUUUCCUCAACUGAGAAAAUGAGGGGGUUGAGAUGAACGCCAGCCCUGGGGUGCUCAAUGCUGCAGUCUAGGGUGGUGUGGACUGGAAUCAGAAUUCUUUCUCCUCCGCUCUGGGUGCUGACACAUGAUCUCUGGCUCUCACUCCCCACCCCUAAUCUUGCCCAUCUGAGUUUCAGGUUAUUUUUUCCUUCCUCCUGCUCUUCAAUUUCCUUAUUGAGGAAGCUCUUUCCUGCUGCCUCUGUCCCCGCUGGAGCUGUUUGAUCCAGUAGAGCCAGUCGAAGCCAAGGGGACCCUGACUUGAAUCUUGCUUUCUGACAUGCUGGCUGUGGCUUGCUUGGGACCUGAAUAAGAGCUUGCUUACUCCCGGUGUUCACCACAGCGGAACCAUGGGUGCAGAAAUGUAAUUCUCAACCAGCCCAGUUUAAUCAGCGAAAGACAAUAGAGCUUGCAGGCGGUGUCAUGCUGAGUAUCUGAACACACCAUGGCUGCUGUCGCCCUUUUCAUUAAAAUGAUUGAAAAUGUAUUUCUAAGAAACGUGGGGCAUCCACAAAUGAUGGGAGAGUACUAUCACACGGAUUUCCAAAAGACCUUGGCUCAGGUGUCACUUUUGCAGAAAAGCAUUUACUGACUGUUGACUUGGCCAAAUCCCUGUGCUGUGUUUCCUAGUACGGUAAAUCAACUGUAUCCAGUAGUGGGACAGAUGCAGCAUGAAAGAAGAAAGUUACAAUUGCUUUAUCUGAUGCUGUCACUCAUGCCUGGUGUUGAGAGGCGCACAUUUUAAAAAGUCUAAUAGCUCCGACAUAUCUAGGAAACAGAUGGGAAACAAAUGAAGCAUUGAUGGAUUCGCAAAUUCCAGUUCUUUGAUAUUUGUCUGCCCAGGAAUGGGUGGGACAGAGAAAUGUAAGGGAAUAAUGAGGAUACGGGUGGGGAAAGGCUUGCAAUUUUUCCCGUUCUUCUUUGGAUAUGGACUGAAGGAAGGAUGUGGGGAGGAGGUGUUUAUCUUUUGCUUGUACUCUGAACUUUUCCAAAGUUACUGCAUUCCUUGGGAUAUAAAACUGUAAUCAAGAGUCUCUAAUGGAUAACUGCAAUUAUGCAUUGAGUCAUUCAACAAAUACACAUUAAUACUGACUAAAUUAAGCUCGAAUGGAACUUCAGGGCAAAAGAACAGAGAAAAUAAAAUACCACUAGAGA
Molecule: long non-coding RNA, 2113 nt
Filed under: Homo sapiens (human)
Lineage: Eukaryota; Metazoa; Chordata; Mammalia; Primates; Hominidae
Description: HSALNT0134815
Source: RNAcentral